RNAcentral lists this ribosomal RNA (442 nucleotides) under uncultured bacterium. Its description in RNAcentral is "partial 16S ribosomal RNA". It matches the Rfam family "Bacterial small subunit ribosomal RNA", at positions 338 to 795 of the family's 1533-position model. The record is from RNAcentral.
CCUACGGGAGGCUGCAGUAGGGAAUCUUUCACAAUGGGCGAAAGCCUGAUGGAGCAACGCCGCGUGCAGGAUGAAGGCCUUCGGGUUGUAAACUGCUUUUAUCAGCGAGAAAUAUGAUGGUAACUUAUGAAUAAGGCUCGGCUAACUCCGUGCCAGCAGCCGCGGUCAUACGUAGGAUCCGAGCAUUAUCCGGAGUGACUGGGUGUAAAGAGUUGCGUAGGUGGCAUAAUAAGUAGCUAGUGAAAUCUGGUGGCUCAACCAUUCAGACUAUUAGCUAAACUGUUAAGCUCGAGACCGUUAGGGGUAACUGGAAUUUCUAGUGUAGGAGUGAAAUCCGUAGAGAUUAGAAGGAACACCAAUAGCGUAGGCAGGUUGCUGGGACGGGUCUGACACUAAGGCACGAAAGCGUAGGGAGCAAACGGGAUUAGAUACCCGAGUAGUC